AGAGUUUGAUUCUGGCUCAGAUUGAACGCUGGCGGAAUGCUUUACACAUGCAAGUCGAACGAUGAACCUUAGCUUGCUAAGGGGAUUAGUGGCGAACGGGUGAGUAAUAUAUCGGAACGUGCCUUGUAAUGGGGGAUAACUAGUCGAAAGAUUAGCUAAUACCGCAUACGCCCUGAGGGGGAAAGUAGGGGAUCUUCGGACCUUACGUUAUAAGAGCGGCCGAUAUCUGAUUAGCUAGUUGGUGGGGUAAUGGCCUACCAAGGCGACGAUCAGUAGCUGGUCUGAGAGGACGACCAGCCACACUGGAACUGAGACACGGUCCAGACUCCUACGGGAGGCAGCAGUGGGGAAUUUUGGACAAUGGGCGCAAGCCUGAUCCAGCCAUUCCGCGUGAGUGAAGAAGGCCUUCGGGUUGUAAAGCUCUUUCGCAAGGGAAGAAAACUUACUUUCUAAUAAAGAGUGAGGCUGACGGUACCUUGAUAAGAAGCACCGGCUAACUACGUGCCAGCAGCCGCGGUAAUACGUAGGGUGCGAGCGUUAAUCGGAAUUACUGGGCGUAAAGCGUGCGCAGGCGGUUUGGCAAGUCAGAUGUGAAAUCCCCGAGCUCAACUUGGGAACUGCGUUUGAAACUGCCAGACUAGAAUAUGUCAGAGGGGGGUAGAAUUCCACGUGUAGCAGUGAAAUGCGUAGAGAUGUGGAGGAAUACCAAUGGCGAAGGCAGCCCCCUGGGAUAAUAUUGACGCUCAUGCACGAAAGCGUGGGGAGCAAACAGGAUUAGAUACCCUGGUAGUCCACGCCCUAAACGAUGUCUACUAGUUGUUGGUGGAGUAAAAUCCACGAGUAACGCAGCUAACGCGUGAAGUAGACCGCCUGGGGAG
RNAcentral lists this ribosomal RNA (878 nucleotides) under uncultured bacterium. Its description in RNAcentral is "bacterial SSU rRNA". It matches the Rfam family "Bacterial small subunit ribosomal RNA", at positions 8 to 880 of the family's 1533-position model. The record is from RNAcentral.